GAUGAACGCUGGCGGCGUGCCUAAUACAUGCAAGUCGAGCGAACGGACGAGAAGCUUGCUUCUCUGAUGUUAGCGGCGGACGGCUGAGUAACACGUGGAUAACCUACCUAUAAGACUGGGAUAACUUCGGGAAACCGGAGCUAAUACCGGAUAAUAUUUUGAACCGCAUGGUUCAAAAGUGAAAGACGGUCUUGCUGUCACUUAUAGAUGGAUCCGCGCUGCAUUAGCUAGUUGGUAAGGUAACGGCUUACCAAGGCAACGAUGCAUAGCCGACCUGAGAGGGUGAUCGGCCACACUGGAACUGAGACACGGUCCAGACUCCUACGGGAGGCAGCAGUAGGGAAUCUUCCGCAAUGGGCGAAAGCCUGACGGAGCAACGCCGCGUGAGUGAUGAAGGUCUUCGGAUCGUAAAACUCUGUUAUUAGGGAAGAACAUAUGUGUAAGUAACUGUGCACAUCUUGACGGUACCUAAUCAGAAAGCCACGGCUAACUACGUG
RNAcentral lists this ribosomal RNA (497 nucleotides) under uncultured bacterium. RNAcentral describes it as "partial 16S ribosomal RNA". It matches the Rfam family "Bacterial small subunit ribosomal RNA", at positions 28 to 507 of the family's 1533-position model. The record is from RNAcentral.